RNAcentral lists this long non-coding RNA (625 nucleotides) under Mustela putorius furo (domestic ferret). RNAcentral describes it as "lncRNA (ENSMPUG00000025892.1)". The record is from RNAcentral. Lineage: Eukaryota; Metazoa; Chordata; Mammalia; Carnivora; Mustelidae.
AAUGAACAUGCUCCAGUGUGAAACUUGGCCAUCACCCUCAAAAACUGCCAUCCCUAGGCCGGAAGGUGUCUGUGACUGUCCCGCUGCUCCUUCAAAUCAGCACAUGGAACACUCACUCCUGUGUGGUGUGGAAAAGAGCCCGUUCCGAUUGUGCAGUCGCCGUAAAUUUGCCACAGCUCAGAGUCUGUAGAGCUACUGUGUAAGCCAAGUCCAUCUGUUUGUUGCAAACACUGUUUUCAUUACAUCAUGCCCCUGCUCAAGGUCUUUGAAAGCCUUCACAUCAUCUGGCAACUGAGGCCAAAACUCCCCUGCCUACUUGCCGACUGCCCCCCACCCCUGUAAUCUAUGCGUUCUAGAUUGGAUGGACACUAUGUGUCCAGCCCGGUCUCCCCCUAAUUCCCCCGUAGAUAGCCUCUGUCCAGUUCUGCUCUGACUCCCGGCCUCUGAGCCCAUGGUGGUGUCCCCCCCUCCCAUUCCAGCCGAGCUCCACUAUCCUUCAAGGACCAGCUUGAAACUUAGUUUGAAAAGCAUAAAACAAUGAUGAUACUAUUUCAGGAUUGGGUUCCCCAUCCUGAGUAGCUAAUCUCACUAUGACGAAAGGAGAUGUGUUUCAGAUGUCAGGCCC